This 1267-nucleotide long non-coding RNA is filed under the name Olea europaea subsp. europaea. The record is from RNAcentral. Lineage: Eukaryota; Viridiplantae; Streptophyta; Magnoliopsida; Lamiales; Oleaceae.
CCAUAUGUGGGAAUCGUUACAUUAACCAUGUUGUACCACAUUCCAAAAGCCAUCGUAAAACAAGGUAUUUUCCAGGCAGUGGUCUACUGAAACCCAGCAAAGACAGCAACCAGACAGGAUGGGAUUUUUUGGGUAGUUUCCUCUGCCAAAACGAUAGAGCCAGCCAUCCAAAAAGAAGAAGAGUAACUUGCUGGAAAUAAAGGGGCAACACAAGAAUCUAUUCAUGGGAAAAAUGAAGGCAGAUCUUGAAAGGAAAUUUUCAACAUCAAAUUGAAGAAUUCAGCCACAAGAAUGCAGGGGAAGAAGGCAGCCAUUUGUGUUGAUAAAAUUGAAAAUAUUUGAUAGCAUCUCCAAGCAUAAAUUCAAGGAAAAGAGAAGCCAUUAUUUCUCUCCAAAUUUGAAUUAAAAAAACCUCUCUUGCAACUACUGACUCUCAAUGAUAAUGGUUUACCUGCCAUUUUACUUCUUUCAAAUAUUUGGUUACAAGAAAAGAUGGGAGCUCCAGUACAAAUGAAAAGCAACUGAAAAAUGAAAAGAUGAGUAUAGCUUGUUCCAAUUGAUGUUGCAAGCUCCGGUGACCACUUUGGAGGUAACCACCGGCAUCACCAAGGACGAGAAUGUCCAGCUUCAGCUUUUGCCUACAGUCUCAACUAUUAUUGAAACCUCCAUGACCUCUGACAACCACCAUUAUUUAAGUAGCUGCCACUCGCAACCCACCGGAAAAUCUUCAUAGCAAAGUCCUUGGCUAGAGCUCCGGUCUAGUUGUGUGCACAUUAAUGGUGAUGGAUGUGCACAUUAAUGGUGAUGGAGACAAGUCUUGAUGAUGAUUACUUUGCAAAUGGUUCACGCCAACUACUUUGUGGGAAAGAGAAACUGACUUUUCGGCCAAAUUGGUACUUGUCAAUUAAUAGGUUGUGGAAGACAUAUAAUGAUUAAAUAUUGGUUAGUUAUUGGGCCUCUUGGAAGAAUUAAUUGCUAGAUGAUGGGCUUAGUUGAUUGGGCAAAUGUUUUUGUAAAAUUGGGCCCACGUUAAUCUUUUGAUUUAAAGUGACCAAAACCUUAUCCUUUUACAUGGACAUUUUUAGCAGACUUGGCCCAACGACUUUAUGGUCUUCAGAGAUUUAAUGGGCUUAAAUUUUUGAACUUGAUUGGACCAGCAAAUUUUUUUUAUUGGACCUCAUAGCCUCCUUUUGUCUUAAAUGAUUAGGCUCAACUGCAUACGCCAAGUUCUUGGUUAUUUUUCUUGGGCUGGUAUAAUAUAUAUUCU